CGGAGAGUUUGAUCCUGGCUCAGGACGAACGCUGGCGGCAUGCCUAAUACAUGCAAGUCGAACGAACUUUCCCGAUGAUUGAAGCUUGCUUCAUGAAUCGGAUCUAAGUGAGUGGCGGACGGGUGAGUAACACGUGGGUAACCUGCCCAAAAGUGGGGGAUAACAUUUGGAAACAAGUGCUAAUACCGCAUAACAACUACUUUCACAUGAUCGUAGUUUAAAAGAUGGCUCUGCUAUCGCUUUUGGAUGGACCCGCGGCGUAUUAGCUAGUUGGUGAGGUAAAGGCUCACCAAGGCAAUGAUACGUAGCCGACCUGAGAGGGUAAUCGGCCACAUUGGGACUGAGACACGGCCCAAACUCCUACGGGAGGCAGCAGUAGGGAAUCUUCCACAAUGGGCGAAAGCCUGAUGGAGCAAUGCCGCGUGAGUGAAGAAGGUCUUCGGAUCGUAAAACUCUGUUGUUGAAGAAGAACAUGCGUGAGAGUAACUGUUCACGUACUGACGGUAUUCAACCAGAAAGCCACGGCUAACUACGUGCCAGCAGCCGCGGUAAUACGUAGGUGGCAAGCGUUGUCCGGAUUUAUUGGGCGUAAAGAGAAUGUAGGCGGUUUAUUAAGUUUGAAGUGAAAGCCCUCGGCUCAACCGAGGAAGUGCUUCGAAAACUGGUAAACUUGAGUGCAGAAGAGGAAAGUGGAACUCCAUGUGUAGCGGUGGAAUGCGUAGAUAUAUGGAAGAACACCAGUGGCGAAGGCGGCUUUCUGGUCUGUAACUGACGCUGAGAUUCGAAAGCAUGGGUAGCAAACAGGAUUAGAUACCCUGGUAGUCCAUGCCGUAAACGAUGAGUGCUAAGUGUUGGAG
This 857-nucleotide ribosomal RNA is filed under the name uncultured bacterium. RNAcentral's name for it is "bacterial SSU rRNA". It matches the Rfam family "Bacterial small subunit ribosomal RNA", at positions 1 to 828 of the family's 1533-position model. The record is from RNAcentral.